Molecule: long non-coding RNA, 2432 nt
Filed under: Nicotiana benthamiana
Lineage: Eukaryota; Viridiplantae; Streptophyta; Magnoliopsida; Solanales; Solanaceae
Description: long non-coding RNA (NBEN_LNC014368)
Source: RNAcentral
AUAGAUAUACUUCCGCCUGUUGAUUAUUCAUCAGCAGAGAAGAAAAGGAACUCGGCCAAGAGUAGUUUGUUUUCAGUUAAUGCUGAUUAUGAAGAUGAUAAUCUAGCAAGUAUUCUGAGAGUGUGAAGCGGAGUACUUCCCUACAAGUUUAUUUGGGGCAAUGCCUAGGAGCUGAAUACAAGGAUUCAGGGGUGUGAUGGGGAAGUAAUUUUUUUCGUGUGGGUGGAUAAAAGAGGUGUCUCCAGCUUGCAUACAACUCGAAUAUUCUAUCAGGCAACUAUAUCCUCUCACCGGUAAAGGUACGGGGAUAAGAAGCAAUCACCCAACAUUGCCUCUGCUGAGGUACAGUGAGAAGUUAUUGAAAGAUGUGAAAGGAAAUCAGCCCCUUGAAAGAAAUGAUAUUUCUCAUAUGGGUAAAGGAUGAACUUAAAAUAGGGUACAACAUGGAUCCUUACAUAUCUAAUAUCACGAGCCUAAUAGGGGACUAUGUGUGGAAAGCUUUAGACUAUCAGUAAUUGUCUUAUGUCCAAUGGUUAUGGAGAUUUAAUACCAACAAACUGGAGAUGUGGAAGGGGAGAUCAAUGCAUAAUAUGGAAUUGAUGGACAAUGAUGCACUAAAGCAGCAGUCACAUCUUUUCAUGGAGUUUACAGUAGGGAGACAAAUAGGAAAUUCUUGGAGAGAGUUUGAAGAGGUGGUAGGGUCAAAGUGGGUAACGGAAGAGCAAGACUAUGGCAAAAAAAACCUUUGGAAACCAGCACUCUUGAAAGAACUAUUCCCAGAUUUAUAUAAGUUCGGUGUACUAUUGCAGAACGCUUCAAAAGAGAAUACUGGAGUCUUCAACCUUGAAUAAGUUAUCAGUACUCGGCACAGAGUGCUAGUGUGGUAACAGUUAAAUUAGCCUGAGUGAUAGUACGGGAUCAUUAGCCUGACUCCCUCCUUUGUAUGUCAAUGAUGACAGGAAAAUCCUUAGUUAAAGCAUGCUAUGCUUGUUGUUAAGGAUGAAUUCUGGUCUAUUGGCUCAAAGGACAUGGAAGAUGACUUAGAGGACGAGAGCUAGUUCCAAAGUGGCUGGUUUUGGAUAGUGGCCCUGAAUCAAACUGUCACGACAAGGUUCCGUCCUAUCCUUGUUUUUUACCAUUUUAGAAUUUGAUUUGAAUAUAGAUACAAUCUCAAGAAUAGUCUUACUCUGUCUGUCCAUUUGAAUGUUAUCUGGACUAAAUAUAGCAGUCAGUCACUGCAAGCUAACAGUAUAAUAUAGUAGAACGAUCCCAGGACAAGGAAAUUGAUGAACGGAAUCAGACAUCAAGUCUAAGAAUCCCAUCCCCCCCCCNNNNNNNNNNNNNNNNNNNNNNNNNNNNNNNNNNNNNNNNNNNNNNNNNNNNNNNNNNNNNNNNNNNNNNNNNNNNNNNNNNNNNNNNNNNNNNNNNNNNNNNNNNNNNNNNNNNNNNAACCACCACAGGUGCUAUAUGGAGGAGAACGUAGUGAGGAACAAAUCUUAUGUCUUACAUGCAAAUAUGUUCUUUGCCAAACCAAAAAUAACAAACAAGGUCUUUGUAUUUGCAAAGUAAAAAGAUAAAUGUGUAAAUACACAAACCUCAUGAAGCUUCUUUCUCCUCCCUUUAGAUUCAAUUGGAAAGCGGCGCAGCAUGAGAAACAACCUGAUGAUUGUAAAAACUUGUAAAUACGAAUUCCCAAUGAACAGUUGUCUAAGGUAGUUAAGAACAGUGAAUUAGAAGAUAAAUGCACAAAGAAAUAGCACUUAAAUGCACCUUCCACCAUAGAGCAGAAAGCCCAAUGCUGCAAUAAAUGACACAACUGCACCAAAGAAACAUGCAACGUUAAUCUAACCUUCAGUAAAAUAGGGCAAAAGGAGAAAACUAAUAGAAAGAGAUUCACCUGCUAUAAAUAUCUUCCCAAUGAAUUCCACAGUGCUAUUGUCAUUGACCCAGAGGUAAACCCAGAUACAUGCCUGACCAAAACCAUUUUUCAGUUGUAUUUAGUUUAUUACCUGAGAUAAAAUCUAGAAGACUCAAGCAGCUAGAUAGCUUUUGAGACAAGUGGUCCGUCGGGAAUAUUUUUCCAGGAAAUCAAGAACAUCAAAAAAAAAUCUAGAAGACUCAAGCAGCUAGUUAGCUUUUGUGACAAGUGGUCCGUCGGGAACAUUUUUCCAAGAAAUCAAGAAUAACAGACAGCUUUAUUCAUUUAGAAGUGGACCCUUUUUUUAGGAAAAGGGAGAAAGCUAGAGUCCUCAGGGACUGGAAUUAGGAGUAUCUAGCCCCAUUUCAAGGCUAACUUUUCAAAUGGGUUUUUAAAUAUUUAUUGCAAGAUCUUGGAAAGAUAUAUAAGGAUUCAGGGGUGUGAUGGGGAAGUAAUUUUUUUCGUGUGGGUGGAUAAAAGAGGUGUCUCCAGCUUGCAUACAACUCGAAUAUUC